Hippopotamus amphibius kiboko is the source of this 202-nucleotide long non-coding RNA. RefSeq lists it as uncharacterized. The transcript is spliced from 3 exons. The record is from RefSeq and is a predicted model, not a curated record. Lineage: Eukaryota; Metazoa; Chordata; Mammalia; Artiodactyla; Hippopotamidae.
UUGGAAGACUUUUGAAAAUGGAAGUCACGAGACUGAUUAAUAUUCCUGUUUCUGGAUGUACAACACUUUAUCCAUUCACCUACCGAAGGACAUCUUGGCUGCUUCCAAGUCUGGACAAUUAUGAGUAAAGCUGCUGUAAACAUCCAUUCAAUGGAUGAGAAUUCCUGCUGCUCCAUAUUCUCGCCAGCAGUUGGUGUUUGCA